UUCUUUUUGUCAUUUACUACAUUCUCAUGCAUUGUAAACAAGCUUAGACUGAUUUGCUUCUGAAGAUAAAUUCAGGAAUUUUUGAAAAUUCCUAAAUGUAAAUAGAUUCCAAUUAAAACUGCAAAAAGGAGGAAGAGACAGGAGAGUAAACACUGAGUGCAGUGAUGACACUGGCCAGGAAGAGAGAGACGCUUACAGCCCAAGAGGAGCAGUGAAGAUUGUGGUAUGUUUUCUGUGGUACAGUGGUUGUGCUAAUGACAUGGAAUUUCUGGAUGAAGAGCUGGGGAAUGUACUACGAGUGCAGUUAGGACAAAGACUUCAACAGUGUUAAAUUUCUUCCUCAGCUCUAGAAAUGUGGAGAACAGAAUAUUUCCCAGGGACUGAAAACUGAAUGGCAGUUUUGGUGAUCUGUGAACCAGAAGCCUAUGCCUUGUCUCGCAAAUGGAGAUUUUUAUGAAUUCAGUGAAAUAAAUUUCACUGAAUUUAUGAAUUCUCACAAAUCCAGAAUCAUUUUCCUUUUUGGAUAUACUUGGAGUGAGUGCCUUCUGCAACCUUGCAUGACUGAACUUUUGGUCUGUUUAGAGGCAGGAUGUUAGAGCUGUAAGGUCUCAUACUGCUGGGCUAGCCAGUCAUCCUCAAAGGCCUCUUUUGUCCCAGUUCAGAUAGAAAGUAAUGCACAUUUUGGGGAUGCUCAAAAUACCUCACACUUACCAGUCUCUGAUCAUUUUGCUGUAAGAUAAUUGUGUGACCUCUGUGAGCUGCUGUGGUUGUGUGACUGAAUGGGACUGAUUACACACAAAACCAUGAGGAGAAAUGCCAGCACCUACAGAGCAGUGGCUUUUUGGGGUUCCAUGUUUGCAGUGUUGUGAAAUGAUAUUUUUAAUAAAUAGUUCUGAAAUCCAUUUGCUUCAGAGAUGAAGCCAAGUUAAGAACAGUUUGUACAACUACUUGUUCACCCUCAGGCCACGCUGUUGCUCUCGGAGUUGAGCCAAAAUACUGCAUUGCAGUGUCUGCCAAAAUGAGGUUUGUCUGCUUGCCUUAAGUAGAGUUGUGGUUUUCUGGGGAGUUCUUUGUUUGUUUUGUUUUGGUGUUGAGGGGCUUUUCCAUCUAAAUUUUUCCUAACUGGGAUAGCUACAUUAUUUCUCUUCACUCCUUUUGCUUGGAAUUACCUGCAGAGUCUAUAUGGUCAUAAAGGUCCUUAGUUCAUGCAUGGAAUAUUUGCUUCUCAGUCCUGGAAACUGGAGUGGGGUGUGGGAAGAACACUAAAAUGCAGCAGUAUGACUAAAAGCAUUUUCAAAAAGCAAACAACAGGCUUUAACUUCUGCUGAGGAGGCUGUGAAGUAGAUCUAAUGACAUUGAUCUAUAGGAAGCUUUUCAAAAGCAGGUCUCCAGCAAAUCAGCAAUGUUUUGUACAACACAAACAACAAUUUUAAGCCACAGCUGAAAAUUCUGUAUGGAGACUUGCAAAGUAUUUGUAAAUUAGAGUUGAAAAAAUGACCUAACUCUGCUAAGCAAGCAGCCAUGUGUCCCAGGAGAGCAGGCAAACCCAGGAAGGGGAACCAAGAGCAGCUGUGCGGUGACUUUUCAUCACAUGAUGCAGCUGCAGCCUGAUGGUUGCACAUCUUUCCUCCAUCAGGACAAGGGUAGAGUUAGACAAGGGUGCAGUUAUUACAGGGUACCAGCACUAAAAUGGCAAAUCUCUUGUGUUUCCAGUGUGAUGUGCAUUGUCCCCACACUGAUUUCAGUGCUUCUUUCAUGUGUUUUGCUUAAACCAGGAACGUGAACUGAGUUUUACUCUAUCAAAACUAAAUUAACUCAAGGUCUGACUCUACAUUUGCUCAAUUUUCUCCAUUUCUCACACGUGCACUUGCUUUCACUUGUACCAUAAAUUAUUUUUGGCGUGUCGUGCCAGCUGGUCUUGAAUCUUAGAGGUCAGUUCCUUGUAAAGGCUUUACCAAAGAACACUUGGCUAAUGCAGUACAAGCAGCAUUGCGGCAAAUUUAGAAAAUUUGAGGACAAAAAGUUCUUGAGCACUUAAGAGUUAUGCUGAACAAAUAGUGCUACUGAAUUUGGAUUAAAAAUUCUUAAAUUUGUGCAUAGAGAUGUCCAGCUGUUGGAAAUUAUUCUCUGUUUUCUCUGAAUGUGGACUGACUGAACUUUGUGUUGUUGAUAUGGGGGCUGCUUAAUACAAAAAAUAGAGACAGCAGAGAAAAAACCAAAAUGGUCAUUAGACCUAACUGAAGGGAAGAAAAAACCAGAUUGGAGCAUUUCUUUUAACUAACCAUUGUUAAACUGUUGCUGUAGAAUGAUACCCUGUAAACUAUAAAUGGAUAUAGUUGGAAAUAACAUCCCAUUGCCUGACAUUGCAAACAAGUGAUUAAAUUCAUGAUUACUUGAUUGAUUUCGUAAUUCCAGCUUAUGUAUGGUUAAGUUGGUAUCAUAAACUGUGCCCAAAUAAAUAUUGUUAAAAUCAACAGAAUGAAAAAAAGGAAGAUUUGUACUAGAAGAAAGAGAUGCAUCUCAUUUUAUAACCUCCUAACUUCUGCUGCCAAGAUUCUACUUUGGUUUUAAGACCGCUGCCAGUUUUAGAGCUGUCAUUUUAUUCGAAAGCUGGUAUUGUCAGAUUUUACCAACAGGUUUUCAUUGCUGGAUUUAAAGGAGUAAUGUUUCCCCCAGCAGUCAGGUAAGCCUCAGAGAGUUACAAGAAAUGCAGAGAGACACCUGAAUCUCAGGCUUUGUAUCACUGUGUAUGUAUUAGACAGGGAUCAGAAAACUCACUCUGUGUCUUGCUUUCCUUUCCAAAAGAACAACCCCCCUGUGGAAGCAGUGCUGAGCUGGGACCUUCUCCUAGAGGGCAACAAACUGAUACAUUUAUAUCUGAAUGUGAACUCCAAAGGAUUGUCCCAGCAGAACAACAGACCAUGGCGGUGUUCACGACUGUUUUCUCAACAUAGUUUAGCAACCACCGAUUCAGCUAUACCAACAUAAAAUGUGUAUUUUUCUUUUAAAAAUAACAAUGAUAUUGAUACGAAGGCA
Molecule: long non-coding RNA, 3036 nt
Organism: Corvus hawaiiensis (hawaiian crow)
Lineage: Eukaryota; Metazoa; Chordata; Aves; Passeriformes; Corvidae
Exons: 2
Source: RefSeq, a predicted model, not a curated record